ACAAUGUGGAUCUUGAGAGAAGAAAAGAGAAUUUCUAAAUUCUUCCUUGGUAUGGGCUUUCGGGAGAAUCACUGUGGUUCAGCUUACACAAAACCAAUCUCUGAGGUUUUGCUGCUCACAGCCUAGAUGUGUGGGUGAGGAGAACCUGAUGUCUCAGCCAAAUAAGAGAAGUGAGCAGCCGUCAAGAUUAAAUCAACCUAUUUGUGAUUUUAACUUUGCUGAUUGGACUCAAGUCACAGUUGCUUUUUCUGUGCUCAAGGUUAAACAGCAACUACAGUUCUUGAGACCAGAAGUCGGAAUGAAUCUUACAGGGUGAAAACCAGGGUGCCAUCAAUGUUGGUUCUCUCUGGAGGCUCUAAGGGGAAAGUCUUUUUCUCCUCUUUGCAGACAUACUGAUGAGUGUAACAAUUCAUGGAGCCAUAGAUACAGCAAAAUAAGGU
RNAcentral lists this long non-coding RNA (440 nucleotides) under Homo sapiens (human). RNAcentral's name for it is "HSALNT0345721". Lineage: Eukaryota; Metazoa; Chordata; Mammalia; Primates; Hominidae. The record is from RNAcentral.